UUCGGGACUUGAUGGACCCAGAGUCUGUCUGAGGAUGCAGCCUCUGGUCACUGCAGAAAAUAUCUCCAUUUUCAGGGUGAAAAUAUUCCAAAGUUGUUACAAGUCAUUCUUUUAAGAAUAUCUAAUGGUGUGAAAAAUGGUCACCAGAAGUGAAAAAAAGCAUGGGAUAAAGCUAAAUAGAACUGGAUUCCAUUUAGGAAUACAGGACCUUGGCAGGCAGAGAUGUACCCUGUGGCUUGGUCUUUCUCUGCUUGGCCAGUGGUGAUGAAAACAAUAACAAAGACCCUGACUUUGCUUAAUGACCAAGACUCGCUUAGAUAACAAACCAGCGCAGUCGUUGGCAGAGAGCCUUCUAGAUGCUUGAUGCAGUGUGACCUACUGGAAUAGGGUCAGAAGGAAGGAGGGCUAAGUUACAUAUUGGUUCAACCGAAGCAGAUUAUCUUCUCUAGAUUUGGACUGAUGACCUUGUUUAUUAUUAACUAUCAUUUACUGAGAACUUUUAUGUGCCAGGUACCGAAUUAGGUACUUUAUGUUCAUUUUCUUGCAAGGUUUUGUUGCUGUUUUUCUUUUUUUAACAAAGGAGAAAAUUGAAUUUCAGAACGGUUAAGUAAUUUGUUCAACAUUAUUACACAGUUUAUAAAUGGUACAGCCAGAAAUGCGAUCUUGGUAUGAGUAUAAAAUAACUUUUACUCUUUCUUUGGUAAACACAUAGCUUACGCCUUACAAAUUUCAAAUUCAAGGUGCCAGAGGACUGCGGCUUAGAACGGGUGAGCUGGCCAUGGCAUAGCAAGUCAGUAAUUUAUAUACACAACCAUAUUGACUCUUUUCAUCACAGAGAAUUCCAGGAAAAUUCAGACAAGGUAGAAUCAUUGGGCAGAAUUGCAGAAGGAUUCCUUCUCAAUACUUUAAGAAUAAGAAAACCCCCCAGUCGGGGCUUCAUGAGCCUGUAAAAAAAAAUUUUUAAUGCCAUCAGGCUGUUGUUUUUAGUUUAAUUGCUCAUUAAUUUUUUGAUUUAAAAAAUAGGUUUCAUUCUUUUGUAAGAGUUUGAGAUUUACGGAAAAGUUGAGAGGCUAGUAUGGAGAAUUCCCAUAUACCCUGCACCCAGUUUCCGCUAUUAACAUCUAAUAAUGCACAUUUGUCAUAAUUAACGAACUCAUACUGAUUUGCUAUUAACUAGAGUCCAGAGUUUAUUCAGAUUUCCUUGGUUUUUACCUAAUGUCAUUUUCCCAUUCCGGGAUCCCAACCAGGAUACCACAUUACAUUUAGUUGUCAUUUCUCCUUAGGCUCCUCUUGGCUGUGAGAGUUUCUCAGACUUUUGUUGGUUGUGAUGACCUUGAUAGUUCUGAGAUUUACUCGUGAUUUUGCAAGAAGCAAGAGGAUGCCCAUCUACUGGGAUUUGUCUGAUGUUUUUCUCAUGAUUAGACUAGGGUAAUGGGUUUUUGGGUGGAGGACCUCAGCUGUAAAGUGCCAUUUUCAUCAUAUCAUAUCAAGGGUAAAUGCUGUCGAGGUGAUUUAUGACUGAUGUUGACUUCAUCACCUGGCUGAGGUAGUGUUUGUUAGGGUUCUCACUGGAAAGUUACAUUUUGUCCCCCUUUCCAUACUGUGCUUUUUGGAAGUCACUAGGCAUAGCUCAAACCUAAGUGGGGUGCGCAUUAACUUUUAAAAUAAUCAUUCAUCUCUCCCUGCCUCUCAAAGUGAUUUCUUCUUGUUCAACCUGAUUUGAUACCACUUGUGUUCAUUAAUUUCUUCACCUCUACUUCCACUCUCCAAAUUAUAACUAUCAAAUCACAGACUUUCAGAGCUUGGAGGAGCGUAAAGUUUACCUAGCCCUGUUGGGACUGGAUUAUCUGAUAGCCAGAUGAAGCAGAAAUGCAUA
Equus caballus (horse) is the source of this 1876-nucleotide long non-coding RNA. The record is from Ensembl. Lineage: Eukaryota; Metazoa; Chordata; Mammalia; Perissodactyla; Equidae.